This 402-nucleotide ribosomal RNA is filed under the name uncultured bacterium. Its description in RNAcentral is "bacterial SSU rRNA". It matches the Rfam family "Bacterial small subunit ribosomal RNA", at positions 355 to 775 of the family's 1533-position model. The record is from RNAcentral.
CUAGGAAUCUUGGGAAUGGGCGAAAGCCUGACCCAGCAACGCCGCGUGAGCGAUGAAGGCUUUCGGGUCGUAAAGCUCUUUUGUGGGGGAAGAUGAUGACGGUACCCCACGAAUAAGCCACGGCAAACUACGUGCCAGCAGCCGCGGUAAUACGUAGGUGGCGAGCGUUGUCCGGAUUUACUGGGCGUAAAGGGCGUGCAGGCGGUCUGCUAAGUCUGGGGUGAAAGCUCCCGGCUCAACUGGGAGAGGUCCCUGGAUACUGGCAGACUCGAGGGAGGUAGAGGAGAGUGGAAUUCCCGGUGUAGUGGUGAUAUGCGUAGAUAUCGGGAGGAACACCUGUGGCGAAGGCGGCUCUCUGGGCCUUACCUGACGCUGAGACGCGAAAGCGUGGGGAGCGAACCG